Molecule: non-coding RNA, 75 nt
Organism: Potamilus streckersoni
Lineage: Eukaryota; Metazoa; Mollusca; Bivalvia; Unionida; Unionidae
Source: the annotation of a GenBank genome assembly
GCUCCGGUGGUUUAGUGGUUAGAGUUUCCGCCUCGGAUUCGGGAGGUUGCUGGUUCAAACCCUGGCCGUGUAACA